This 204-nucleotide long non-coding RNA is filed under the name Solanum tuberosum (potato). Its description in RNAcentral is "long non-coding RNA (STUB_LNC000578)". Lineage: Eukaryota; Viridiplantae; Streptophyta; Magnoliopsida; Solanales; Solanaceae. The record is from RNAcentral.
CCUUGUACAUGUGAUAACCAAGUUUUGGUGUUAUCCUAAAAUACAGCAAACAAGAAAGGAAAAUAGCAACCAAACAAUAAUAUUUGAAUUUGAAUUUGUGCGAAUGUUACAAUCUUUAUGAAAUCUUUAAGAAAAGAUAUGUAAUCCCUUGAUUCUUCUCUUCACAAUUGUUCUUGACUAGAUGAAAUACUUGCGGCUCAUCAC